Molecule: ribosomal RNA, 718 nt
Filed under: uncultured fungus
Lineage: Eukaryota; Fungi
Description: SSU rRNA
Rfam family: Eukaryotic small subunit ribosomal RNA
Source: RNAcentral
CGCGCUGUUCUAUUUUGUUGGUUUCUAGGACAGCCGUAAUGAUUAAUAGGGACAGUCGGGGGCAUCAGUAUUCAAUUGUCAGAGGUGAAAUUCUUGGAUUUAUCGAAGACUAACUACUGCGAAAGCAUUUGCCAAGGAUGUUUUCAUUAAUCAGGAACGAAAGUUAGGGGAUCGAAGACGAUCAGAUACUGUSGUAGUCUUAACCGUAAACGAUGCCGACUAGGGAUCGGACGGUGUUAUUAUUUGACCCGUUCGGCACCUUACGAGAAAUCAAAGUGCUUGGGCUCCAGGGGGAGUAUGGUCGUAAGGCUGAAACUUAAACAAAUUGACGGAAGGGCACCACCAGGGGUGGAGCCUGCGGCUUAAUUUGACUCAACACGGGGAAACUCACCAGGUCCAGACACAGUGAGGAUUGACAGAUUGAGAGCUCUUUCUUGAUUCUGUGGGUGGUGGUGCAUGGCCGUUCUUAGUUCGUGGGGUGACAUGGCUGUUUAAUUACGAUAACGAACGAGACUUUAACCUGCUAACUAGCCCGUAUUGCUUUGGCAGUACGCUGGCUUCUUAGAGGGACUCUCGGCGCGAGUCGAGGGAAGUUUGAGGCAAUAACAGGUCUGUGAUGCCCUNAGAUGUUCUGGGCCGCACGCGCGCUACACUGACGGAGCCAGCGAGUCCUUCCUUGACCGAAAGGUCUGGGUAAUCUUGUUAAACUCCGUCGUGC